GUCGGACGGGAUUGAGGAGCUUGCUCUUCAUGAGAGUGGCGCACGGGUGCGUAACACGUAUGUAACCUACCCAUAUCAGGGGGAUAGCCUCUCGAAAGAGAGAUUAAGCCCGCAUAAAAUCACAGCACAGCAUUGUGUAAUGAUCAAAUAUUUAUAGGAUAUGGAUGGGCAUGCGGAACAUUAGCUAGUUGGUAAGGUAACGGCUUACCAAGGCUACGAUGUUUAGGGGAUCUGAGAGGAUGACCC
RNAcentral lists this ribosomal RNA (246 nucleotides) under uncultured soil bacterium. Its description in RNAcentral is "partial 16S ribosomal RNA". It matches the Rfam family "Bacterial small subunit ribosomal RNA", at positions 61 to 306 of the family's 1533-position model. The record is from RNAcentral.